RNAcentral lists this ribosomal RNA (445 nucleotides) under uncultured bacterium. Its description in RNAcentral is "partial 16S ribosomal RNA". It matches the Rfam family "Bacterial small subunit ribosomal RNA", at positions 354 to 796 of the family's 1533-position model. The record is from RNAcentral.
GUGAGGAAUAUUGGUCAAUGGGCGAAAGCCUGAACCAGCCAUGUCGCGUGAAGGAUGAAGGUCCUAUGGAUUGUAAACUUCUUUUGCAGGAGGGUAAAGUGAGCUACGUGUAGUUCAUUGCAAGUACCCUGCGAAUCAGCAUCGGCUAACUCCGUGCCAGCAGCCGCGGUAAUACGGAGGAUGCGAGCGUUAUCCGGAUUUAUUGGGUUUAAAGGGUGCGUAGGCGGACUAAUUAGUCAGCGGUGCAAUUUUGCGGCUCAACCGUAAAACUGCCGUUGAAACUGUUAGGCUUGAGUGCGGGAGAGGUAGGCGGAAUGUGUGGUGUAGCGGUGAAAUGCGUAGAUAUCACACAGAACACCGAUUGCGUAGGCAGCUUACUGGAGCGCAACUGACGCUGAGGCACGAAAGCGUGGGGAUCGAACAGGAUUAGAAACCCCAGUAGUCC